RNAcentral lists this long non-coding RNA (203 nucleotides) under Phoenix dactylifera (date palm). RNAcentral describes it as "long non-coding RNA (PDAC_LNC020341)". The record is from RNAcentral. Lineage: Eukaryota; Viridiplantae; Streptophyta; Magnoliopsida; Arecales; Arecaceae.
ACUCCUUACGGGCCCUCGGAAAGGGAUACAACCUGACCGAGCUCCUACGGGAGGACGCCCUGGCGAGCGUGGGCCUGAGUUCGGCGCGCCCCGAGGGUAAGAGUAGUUGCAUUACCUUAUUUUUGUCUGUUCUUUCUUUUUACUAACACUGGUCCGACACUUAGGAGAAUUUUUGGUUUCAGAUAUUUCCCAUAUGCCGACUA